UACGGAGGGAGCUAGCGUUGUUCGGAAUUACUGGGCGUAAAGCGCACGUAGGCGGCGAUUCAAGUCAGAGGUGAAAGCCCGGGGCUCAACCCCGGAACUGCCUUUGAAACUAGAUUGCUAGAAUCCUGGAGAGGCGAGUGGAAUUCCGAGUGUAGAGGUGAAAUUCGUAGAUAUUCGGAGGAACACCAGAAGCGAAGGCGGCCAACUGGCCCGAUACUGACGCUGAGGCGCGAAAGCGUGGGGAGCAAACAGG
This 253-nucleotide ribosomal RNA is filed under the name uncultured bacterium. Its description in RNAcentral is "partial 16S ribosomal RNA". It matches the Rfam family "Bacterial small subunit ribosomal RNA", at positions 524 to 776 of the family's 1533-position model. The record is from RNAcentral.